CACACACACACACACACACACACACACACACACACACACACACACACACACACCUAGGAAAGAGGAAGUGUUCUGUAACUUUGCAAAAUGUGUUGUUUUUCUCUGCAGGUGAUGUUGGCUCUCCCUCCAUCACACUUUUGACAGGCCUCUCCAGUCAGGUUUCCUCAAGCUGUGGAAAACCUCUUUUACACGGCCUGUUGAUGACGUUGGUCUGCUGGAACCUCUUCAACCUUCUGCCUUAAACCUGCUGAACCACCCAAGGAGGACUUUACAGCCAAGUUCAACAUUUUAUUGAUUUGGCCUAUUUUUGUUCAAUAACACUGUAUUUUGUUAUAUACUGUAGUCGUGAAUAUUUAUUCAAAUUGUAUUCUUCGGCAUUCCUAUUUUUGUUGAACAAACACAAUGCUCUCAGUCAAUCCAAAAUGUUAUUGAACCUCAAACCUGAAUGUUUAACAAAGGAAAAGUGAGUUUUGUCUUUGUCAGGGAAAUAUAUAAGUGUUCACAAUUAUUAGGCAGCUAUUAGUGUGCACAAUUAAUAGGCAACUAAAUUACAAAAAUAAUUUCUCUCAA
Molecule: non-coding RNA, 570 nt
Organism: Salmo salar (Atlantic salmon)
Lineage: Eukaryota; Metazoa; Chordata; Actinopteri; Salmoniformes; Salmonidae
Source: RefSeq, a predicted model, not a curated record